RNAcentral lists this unclassified non-coding RNA (249 nucleotides) under Basidiomycota sp. RNAcentral's name for it is "partial contains small subunit ribosomal RNA, internal transcribed spacer 1, and 5.8S ribosomal RNA". The stretch from base 1 to 47 matches the Rfam family "Eukaryotic small subunit ribosomal RNA", at positions 1785 to 1831 of the family's 1831-position model. Lineage: Eukaryota; Fungi; Basidiomycota. The record is from RNAcentral.
AAAGUCGUAACAAGGUUUCCGUAGGUGAACCUGCGGAAGGAUCAUUACCGAAUUACCUGCACCACGCUGCGUGCGUGGGUGCUCAAAUGCGCCUCUUGAUCUUGAUCUUGGUGCCCAUCGCUCCCCACCGCAAGUGGGUGAGAUGGGGGGGCGCCCUUUUCAAGAUGUCCUAUGCUACACACACAAACUUGUCAUUGUACGGCGUUGAACAUAAUAACAUAACUUUCAACAACGGAUCUCUUGGCUCUC